RNAcentral lists this unclassified non-coding RNA (136 nucleotides) under soil metagenome. RNAcentral's name for it is "partial internal transcribed spacer 1". The record is from RNAcentral.
GCAGAGUUCAAACUCUCUAAACCCUUGUGAACGUAACUGAAACGUUGCAUUCGGCGGAGGCUCCUCAGGGCUGACCGCCGGAAGAAUCGCAAACUCUUGUUAUUAUUGUCAUCUCUGAGUACUUAUAAAUAAGUUA